This is a non-coding RNA of Taeniopygia guttata (zebra finch), 5672 nucleotides long. The record is from RefSeq and is a predicted model, not a curated record. Lineage: Eukaryota; Metazoa; Chordata; Aves; Passeriformes; Estrildidae.
CGGUGCGGUGAGGAGCGGUCCGGCUGCCGCCGUGCGCGGGCGGGGGCGGCGCGGGAGGCUCGGCCCCGCUCGCCCCGCGGGGGAGGCGCGCUCGGGCGCCCCCUGGCGGCGCGCGGCCGUGGCCGGGGCAGGGCCGCGGUGCCGGCGGAGCCGCGGUCCCGGGCCGCGCCUGCGGAAGGCGAGCGGCGGGAGCUCCGCCGGUGAAUCCGCGACAAACGCCCCGUGACUGCCCAGCAGCUACCGGUGGCUGCCGUGGGGCGGUCGUGUUCACGGCGGGAGAUGCCGGAGUGUGGGCUGGUGGUUUCGAGUUGAAUUUCUCUCGACUUCCAUAAUUUUCAAGGGUUUGAAUGAAGAGCUUGGUACUUGAAAAUCUCUUUUAGGAAACUGCAGUGCAUUGAAAAAAUGUAAACCUUCCUCAGACUGUUAUUUGUUUGCUCGGCAUGGCCAUUAUUAAAUAGAAACCAAAGAACCCCAGCAACGAUAAAACCCCUUGUAACCACGGGAAAGAUGCAGACCCGGGCACAGAGUCCAGAACACGUAAGAAGAUGCGAUUCCUCCGUUCUCUCGAAGUUUCCCUGUCCGUGCCCGGCUACGCGGAGCUUUAAUGAGCUGGAGGGGGCACCUCGCACUGGCGCAGAGCACAGCUCUGUGCCUUUAGCACAGCUCCAUGCAGGCGCAGGUGUCGUGCCGCUUUUCCCACAGAAACAACCAGCUGAACGUGGCACAUAAAUGGAACUGUGCUUUUAGAAAGCUCCUCUGGUAAUUUCUUCAUAAAGUAAUUAAAAAGGAUGGGCAUAUAUAAUUCCUGUCUUGAGCUGUUCUGCCCCUGCAAGCUCCACAACAGAGUUUUAACUGGUUUUGUUAAGAAUGUGUAGAAAAACCUGGCUGCCUGAAAUGCUCCCUUCCCCUACGAAGCUAAGUGUGGCAUCACAUUCACAUCUUCAGGGGACAUUAUUAAUAUUUUUUUUCUGACCAAAGGUAGAAAGAAAAGGAGAAACAUUUUAUUUUCCAUGUGAUCAGCUCUGUAAUAACAAGGAAAAAUAAUUGUUUUCCAGCAUUUAUAAUGCAGGUAUGUCCAAACAGAGUCAGAGAAGGAUCAAAAGAAUAGAGAACUCGUUUAUAAACAUGCUACAUUAGAUCUACCUAUGAAAGCAUUUGAGAGCAGUUUGUUUUGUUGUGAGGUUCUGGUUACUUUACUUUUGUGUUUGUUUUAUUUUAAGUGCUUUAUGGCAAGAUUAUUCAGAUAAGACUGACAUUCCUUUACACAAAAAUAGAACAGUGUGUUUAUUUCCAGCAUUAACUGUGUGACCCUUAGUUGUCCCCACAGGCUUGUAAUAUCCCUUAACUCUGCUUUCUUCAUAUUUAUGCAAAAUUUAUUCGCUAAAUAGUGAAACACCACUGUUGACACUAUUGUAUUAUUUUACAUUGUACAAUAUCUCUUACAGAUCUAAGCACCAGUAAUAAAUUCAGAAGUAUUUCUGAAUGACUUUAGGAUUAGUCAUGCAAUUUGAAGGCAACUGAAUCCAUUUAGAACUUGUGCUGCCUUAUGCUAAAUAAUGAUGAUGAUGAUGAUGAUGAUGAUGAUGAUGAUGAUGAUGAUAAUGCUCCUUUUUAGCACAGCAAUCAGUUCUGAGGCUGAGUGUCACAAAUGUAGUUUCUGGGGCUCUAAGAGCUGCUUAGACUGCAGGCACUCAAAAGUGAGAAGGCAGCACAUUCUGGUCCUGUAGCCACUUUUACUGAUCCACUCAAAACAGUUAAAAUUCAGUAAUUAGCACAGUUGGAGAUAGGUGAGUGUUCACACAAAUGAGGCUGAAGAGACAUAAGCAAGAACACAGGCAGUUCUCAUGUGUUCCCUUUGUACCUGCUUUUUGGUUAGAAAACACAUGCCACCUAACCUGGUUGUUUUGAGUUAAUUUUAAAAAGUAAAAAAGUGUUUCAAAUGGCUAUCAAUGCUAAAACCUGUAGCAAGGCAGGACAGAAUGAAAAGUAGGAACUCUCAAGAUCCUUUUAUCCCCAAAGUGUUAACCUGUAGCAGUCCCCCCCUCCCCCUCCCCUUUUCCUUUUUUUUUUUUUUUUUUUUUUUUUCUCUCUAUAGAGACACAUGCAUACAGGAUAUUCCAAAUAAAUUCAAAGAGAUAAACAAAAAUAACAUUAUUUAUGUUUCUACGAAUUUUCAGUGUUUCCCUAAACAAGCUGGACCUGUUCUGAUCACUAGAAGCUCAUGUCACAUCUUGCUUUCCUUGGACUUUCGAAAUGUUUGAAGUGCACACUCAUCUGCACCACAUAAGAGUUAUAGGUAUUAACCACACCAAAUCAACAUAAAAGGGAGACUAAUGAGCCAAUCUACCAUGCUGGUGAAAGCAGAGACUUUGUGUGUGAGAGCCCAAAGGAUGGGAUGCUGCAGAGGAAGCUGUGGAUGCAGUGUUCCAUCCCAUGGCACCUCUGGCUAUCACCAGCAGCAGAGCUGCAGUACAGGGCUGGCACAGCUGCAGGAAGCUGAAGGUGCUCUCCAGAACAUGCUGGAUGUUGUGUGCUGAGCAGCCUUGCUUGCAAGCAGGAGCAUCCAGAGCAGGUGUCCACAGCCUGACUGUAGACACUCAUCUAGUCAGACAGCAAAUCAGUGCCUUGCCCUAAGAGAGGUUCUUGUUUCUGCUUGGGAACUGAUGUGGGGACACUGCCAUUCCUCUCCCACAAUGGAUUUUGACUCCCACACUUGCCUGCUCCAUCAAGGCCCAUCUUGACCUUCUUUAACCUAAACUUAUCCACACAAGGACUGAAAAGGUAAGAGAAAGCAUACAGAUGAACCAGAGAAGCAUAAACUGUAAUUGUCUGAAGGAACAGAACUUCAACAAAAGCAUCCAAAAACCAAAAUGCCCAGCAUGUACGUAAGUGAUUCACUGUUUUAAAGGGCCCUUUGCAUGGAUUCUAACAAGGAUAUUUACAUUUGGGUUUGUACUGGCUGCUUACCUUUAACAGUUCAGACUUCAACAAAGCAAAUACGUAUUUGUUAGCCGUCAGCCUUCAAAUAUAACUCAUUUGGGCUAAUACAAAGCACACUAGAAGUAGUCCUUCCAUUAUUUACUUAGAUAACUUAUUUGGAGCAGACUGUGAACCUCAGUGUACUUCGAAGUGGAAAUAAUUUCUUUUACCAUUUACCCAGCAGUUGACCCCUUUUUGACCCACCUCUUUUAUACGAAAGUGAAUUUAGAGCAAAAGGACACCAUCAUGUAUCUUCUAUCUCAAAGGGUUUUGAGACAUGAGAAGGAAAGGCCAGUUUUCCACAUCAACUCUUCAACAUCCUGCUAACUGCACCAUGUUGUCAGCUAGGAUAGUAGUUGUCUCCCAGAAGAUAGUGACCUUUCCUUGGCAAUUAAAAUUGAACAACUCUGCAAUAUGUAAAAACCCCUAGAGUAUGAAUCAAAAUGUCAUUUAAUUGCAUAUCUAGCUCACAUACUUUCUUACAGUUAGCAUUAUCAAUUUGCUCUGGUUACUUACAGCAUGCAUUUAAUCCCAUAGAGUGCUCUGAUUUUAUUGACUAGGCCUCAAUUUGCAAACUGCAAUAUAUACGUACACACAUAGGCAGCACUUGGAGCAGAACAACCUGUAAAUAGGUUUCUAGACAUUUUUCUGUGAAAGCAAAUCAAGCAAACAUUAAUGUCCUGCAUGUUUUAAGUCUGCCGUCUAAAUAACCACAUUCUUCUAGGGGACGAAAAGUGAAUUUCCAUACAGGCAGAAUCUCUCCCAUUAUGCUCAUCACGGAAGGAAGGGGAGAAGGGUUCACUUGGCUGAGGCUCUCAGAUGAGCUGCCUAAAUGCCACAAACCACUGCUAGCUACCCUCUCUAAUCCAAAAAUAAGUGAAGUAAAUCAGAAUCCAGGCCUCUAACAACUAGGCAGUAUGAAGGAAAAAGGAUACAGGAAUGAGGGUUCUUAUAUCAUACCAUCAUCAGCUAAAUGUCUCUAGAGCACAGCAGAAGUUUUAAUCCAGACUAAUGCUUAAAGACAGAUCUCACAUCAGCUGGGCUUCUAAUUUAUUUUUUUUCUGUGAGACAGAACGUCAAUUUUAUGAGAGUGGGUUAGAAAAAAAGAUGCAUAUUCUAACAGAUUCAAACUAUGAUUCAGUGCAAAGUCUGGUGUGAUACUCUAGCAGAAGCCAAAGACAGAUACCAGAAUUCAAAAGAAAGAGCAAGAAAAACAAAUUUCCCCUUUCCAAGGUGUCAGUGGAAGUCUAAAGACAUUUAUCUUAAAUGUGUAAUACCAGCUAAAACAAAUACCUGUCAAGCCUGAAUGUUUUUGAAAAGUAAAGUUCUAUACUUGACAAGCAGAUUCUCUUAAUUUACCUAUAUUUUUCAGCAGUAAUACCACUGUCUUUAAUGUCAAGCUCACAGUGCAAGACAGAAUACUUGUGUUCAAAGUAAAGCGAGUCCUAGGACAAAUUAAAGAAUCUUUUCAAAUCAUUGUUAUCUGCAAAGGAUUUUUUUUUUCAGAAGAAGAAAUCUAACAAAAAUACUCUCUUAAUACUAAGAUACUCUGCUGUCAGUCUGCAAUAAGAAAUGAUCAUGGUAAUUCCAGAAGUUAUGAAAUUAGCUUUUGGUGUGGGCUUUUACUCCGCCAGGAUGCAUUCACCUUGAAAGUCGACAUUUCUAAACCUGUGGUUCCUUUUCAUCAUCUCAGAGAAGCAGCAACCAAGUCCAAGUAAACCCAACUUCAAAUAAUAUAUGAUUCAAGGAAAAGAUUUUAUUUUAGGGCUAAGAAGUUGAUAAUAAAUAAAGGAAUAUAAUAAUGUAAUAACAGAUGUUCUCAUGCACUUAACACAUACAGUAAUGCUGGCUUACACUGCUGUUUGGACAAAUUAAGAAGAGGUAUUUGGCAAUAUUGUAAGUUUUGAAUAGUUUAAAGAUUAUAGAGCAAGAAAUUCUGCUGUUUUUACAUUUCUUUUAUACAAAUUCAAAUAAAUAUUAAUAUAUCUAUUUUUCCUCAGAUUUUCUGUUCACUUUUAACAUGCCCAAUAACUAAGCCACAGUAAUAUACAACUGCCAAGAAAGAGUAUUUAAGAAUUAUACUUAUUCCUAAAAAUGUAUCUUAUUUAUGUCACAUUGUGCAAGCUCUUUAGGUAAAAUUCAUUUUAGGAAAAACUGCAGAAAAUUUAAAUUCAUUAAAACAUAUCCAGUGCAAAGGCCAGUCUAGUCCACACAUUAUGGUACUGUAAUGUAAGCUAGUAUAAUUUAAAUAAUAAAACAUGCCUAUAUGAUUCUGAGAAAGCUGAAUAUGUUUCAUGUUUUAAAGAUCUGACAUCUAAUAUGCAGAUUCUGCAAUAUCAGAAUUUUUCAAAUCUUCAUGAGAUGGCAAAAUAAUGGUAAGACUUUAUAAGUAGGCUUUUUUUUAGGAUAACUCACAUUAACAGUACUACAGUGGCCAAAAAAGACAAACUAUUAUAAUAGAAAUCAAUCUGAUUAAAAAAUUAAAUAUUCCAAUUAACACUGAAAAAGUGUUUGUAAUCAUUAUUUACAAUUCCUCAAUGAUACCAGUGUAUAACUCCACACAAAGUGUACCACUCCCCAGGCAAUCUCCAACCCGCAUGCCCGCCGGAGGAGCCGAGGGCUGGACGCUGUUCAUGGCCAAGGCGUCAGUUCAGGGAAGGAGAGCGGUCUGUGCUCCAGAGCAGUUCUAUGUA